Molecule: unclassified non-coding RNA, 345 nt
Filed under: Ascomycota sp.
Lineage: Eukaryota; Fungi; Ascomycota
Description: partial contains small subunit ribosomal RNA, internal transcribed spacer 1, and 5.8S ribosomal RNA
Rfam family: Eukaryotic small subunit ribosomal RNA (bases 1-47)
Source: RNAcentral
AAAGUCGUAACAAGGUCUCCGUAGGUGAACCUGCGGAGGGAUCAUUAACACGUAUCCACGUAUAACACCCGCGAAUUGUAUUGUUCCGCAUCUGCUUCCAGAUAAAAAGCCAGUGGAUUUCGGUGACGCGAGGACUUCACGGUCUUAGCGUGUCCAUGUGGCCCGCUUUCUCGUCGCAAGACUUGAAAGGUAAGGAUUCAGAUGUGCUAGUCCACCGUGUUCGUACAAAAUCUUUUAACGCAUGAAACUUUAUUGUCUAAUCUUCUUAUUGAACGGGCUAACGCCUGCUCAACUGAAAAAAUAAAAACUAAAGCACAACUCUUAGCAACGGAUAUCUUGGUUCUC